GAGGAAUGUAUAGCAAUAGCUACUUGCAUCAUUGUAGAUAUGAUGUAAGAUCGACUAUGUUGAAUAAAAUUCUAGGUAGAAUUAUGAUAAUGACAUUGUCUGCCUAUGUGUCUUGACCAAAUUACGUGCCAGCAGUCGCGGUAAUACGUAGAAGACUAGUGUUAUUCAUGUUUAAUCGGUUUAAAGGGUACCUAGACGGUAGAUCAAGCUUUCUAAUAAAUGAAAAGGACUAAUUUACUAGAGUUACUUAUGAGGGGGUAUUAAAGUACUGCUGGUGUAGAGAUGAAAUUCUGUCAUACCUCUUUUCAAAAGAAAAACCAUGGCACAGGUAUAGGCGAAGGCAUCCCCUUAUGUGAUAACUGACGUUGAGGGACGAAGGCUUUGUGUAGCGAACAGGAUUAGAUACCCCAGUAGUCGAAGCAGAAAAUGAUGAAUGUCAUAGAUUAGAUGUAUAAGUUUAUUCUAUAAAUGAAAGUGUAAGCAUUCCACCUCAUGAGUAAUUUGGCAACAUUGGAACUGAAAUCAUUAGACCGUUUCUGAAACCAGUAGUGAAGUAUGUUGUUUAAUUUGAUGAUCCGCAAAAAACCUUACCACAAUUUGAAUAUUUAUAUUUUUUUUAUUGUUUUUUUCUUAAUAGAUAAAUAAUUAAAGAAAAAAAUCAAAAAAGGAAGAAAAUUAAGAAAGAGGCAAUAAGAUAUAUUUACAAGCGUUGCACGGCUGUCUUCAGUUAAUGUCGCGAGACUUUGGUUAGUUCCAUUAAAUUAACGUAAACCCUUACUUUAUUUUUAUAUAGAGUAGUUCCCCGCUAUAUUGGAUAUGAU
This 821-nucleotide ribosomal RNA is filed under the name Xanthoparmelia subprolixa. RNAcentral describes it as "partial small subunit ribosomal RNA". It matches the Rfam family "Bacterial small subunit ribosomal RNA", at positions 356 to 1146 of the family's 1533-position model. The record is from RNAcentral. Lineage: Eukaryota; Fungi; Ascomycota; Lecanoromycetes; Lecanorales; Parmeliaceae.